GACUUGCAGGGAGCGGUGGCCUUGGCCAGGAGCGGUCCUGCCGGACUGUAAUUUUAAUUUCCUGCCCAGGCUGUAAUUUUAAUUUCCCUUGGAUGCUUGGCAAAGCCCUUCUGGGGGAGCCCUAGUGCCUGGCAUGAGCGGAGCGGGCUUCCAGGGAGGUAUUCACCUGGUCAGCGUCAGGAACCAUCCUCCCUGAAGCCUCGGCUCCCUCUUUCCCUUCGGUUGCCGUGGAUGUGCCGGACACCUCUGGCAGGACUAACCCUGUGGCUUUUAUGUCCAACGUGCUGUGUGCCUGCAGUAUCCUGUCCAAGACCAAGCUACCUUUCCUCGUUGGAAUGGACUGGCCGGGCUUUGGCAGUCUGGCCCCUCGAAAGACUAAAGUGACCUCUUCCAGCAGGGGAAGACUUUCUGGCAAGCGGUACCAGAAAGAACUGGAGUUUCUGGAGAAUAAAAGCUGGAGGUGUGCCCCCGAUAAUCCU
Molecule: long non-coding RNA, 479 nt
Organism: Pseudopipra pipra
Lineage: Eukaryota; Metazoa; Chordata; Aves; Passeriformes; Pipridae
Exons: 3
Source: RefSeq, a predicted model, not a curated record